AUGGGCCCAAGUGGAGAGGCAAACCUGGAGCAUCGUGUGUUCUCCAUGGAAAGCGUGGAUUCUCAGCUCUGGAGUGGAUACGAGUUUCCCCGGCUGUUCUCUUUACAGAGGGCUCUGCCUGCAGGACAGAGUGGGGCCUGGAACAGACCUGCGACCUGCCAUCUGCCUGUCCUAAGAGAGGCAGCUGGAAGCCCUGAGCUCAUUGGAGGAGGGCGCGCGGGGAGUCCUCCAGUGCUCUGUGGAAGACGGAAUGUUAAUCCGCGCUCAGACACCCGGGGGAGGAACAGAACAAAAUACAGAAGAGCUCAGGAAGUGUCACGACUGGGUAAUGCAAAUUGCACUGGGCGGGUGAAGAAGUCGUGCACGUCUUUCUUACAUUUUCUUUUCAUGUUCUACACGCACGGUUUACUUUGCCUGAUGAAUAAAAUUAGUAGAUUCAUCCAGGCCAGAAACAACACUGCACUAUAUGGAUAGAAAAACAGAUAAAACAAAAAGCUCCCCCCAGAAGAUAACCACAACCAGUGUUUAAUGGUUUUUGUGUUCAUUUCAUGUGCAAAGACACACACACACAUCUGUGUGAUGAAUCUAUGCUAUGUUCCCUGCCUUCUUGGGUGCACACUUUUCAUAUUGUAGUGUUUCUUUUUUUUUAAGAUUUAUUUAUUUCAUUUCAAAGUCAGAGUUACACAAAGAGAGAAGCGGCAAAGAGAGAGGUCUUCCAUCCGCUGGUUCACUCCCCAAUUUGCUGCUACACCCGGAGCUGCACCGAUCCGAAGCCAGGAACCAGGAGCUUCUCCCAGGCCUCCCACAUGGGUGCAGGAGCCCAAGGACUUGGGCCAUCUCCUACCGCUUUCCCAGACCAUAGCAGAGAGCUGGAUCAGAAGUGGAACAGCCAGGACUUGAACCGGUGCCCAUAUGGGAUGCUGGCACUGCAGGUGGUGGCUUUACCCGCUAUGCCACAGCGCCGGCCCCUGUAGUGUUUCUGAAAUCAGGAUGCUGUUCAUAAUUGAGUGACGUUUCCCUUACUGCUGAAAUACCAUUAGGUCGGUGGCGCAUCCUGACCAAGGCCGUUCGAAGGGAGCAGAUACAGUAUCUGUACGUGGUAGCGUGGAGGGAAGCGGGGCAGCUUCAUAGGAGCUCUGUGCAGGGCAGUGGCUGUGUCCAGGGGGCAUCCAACGCAGCCGCGUCCGAGUGCCACUCACCUCCACUCCUGGGGCUGUGAGCGGAGAUCGGCGAUCUCCUGCCCGAGACCGGGCAUCUCGCCAAAGUUGUCCCCACCCCAGCCUCGUCCCCAGAGGAGGUGACUCUGAGGCGUGAAUUGUGUCAUUGUGAGGUAUGGAAGGAGGUCCACAUUUGAAUUCCAUGCAUAGCUUUUCUUUUAUGUUAGUGUAUUCAUUUGAAAGGCAGAGUGACAAGAAGAGAGAGAGAGAGAGGGACAGAGAUCCUCCAUCCACUGGCUCAUUCCCACAAUGGUCACAAUGGCUGGGCGGGGCUGGCCCAGGCCGAAGCCAGGUGCCCGGUGCUCCCUCUGGCUGUCCUACCUAGGUGGCAGGUGCCCAAACACUUGGGCCAUCUUCCACUGCCAUUAGCAGGAGGCUGGAGCAGAAGUGGAACAGCCAGUACUUGAACCAGGACUCUGAACUGAGAUGCUGGGGCCACAGGUGGCCGUUUAGCUCACUGCGCCACUGCGCCGGCCCAUGCGUAGUUUUUCAUAAUACACGUUUUCUGUGAACUUUUGGAAGACUCCUCAUAUACACUGAUUUCAAAAAAUUUUGCACCCAAAUAUACUUGUCAUUUAAUUCCAUUUUCCCAUGGCCUUUGUCAAGUACCCACAUUGGUUGACGUGUCCUGGGGCACACUGUAUCCCCAGGGGCCGGAAGGGCCUGGCCCCCCUGGGGCACUGGGAUUUCCCAACCGUCUCUCAGCUCUGUGGGCUGUGCGCUCACUCCUACCUGUGCUUCGGGGUCUGAGGCCAGAUGGAGCUCCUCCGCUGACAUCUCCUCCCCAGGAAUCCGGGCUGGAGAGGGACACAGCAGACUGUGGGCUGCAGGAGCCCCUGCUGUACUGGUCACAGCUGCGGGCAGGCAGCCGGCCCCGGGGGGAUUCUCGACUCGGACCCCGAGGAUGUCAGAGCGGGAAGGGAUUUGCAGGUCAGAGAGAUGUGGUCUCACUUGACGUUCUGCGUGGUAUACAAGAAGCACUCUGCAAAUAUUUGUUGAAUGAUGACUGACGGUAGUGUUGACAUCAAAGGAUUUCGAUGAUGGGGACGAAUCCGAUGCAGCCAGGUCUGUGCAACUCCCCGGGAAGCUCUGAGCUGAGUAGCAGCAGCAGGAGGGAGGAGGGGGAAGCGGCUUGAUGCUCAGCCCCUGCCGGGCCCUGGCAGGUGAUCCCGGGAAGUCAGAUGACCCUCGGGGACUCCUUCAUUCGUUCAAUGCGUGCAUUCCCUCUGCAGCACACUGUGCCAGGCUCCGGGGCAUCCCCAGCGAACAACAAAGCCUCCUGCCUGGGGAUCCAAGAGAAAGAGGAGGGUUAAGGGGGUCUCCAGGUUUCCUUCCCUAUAAGAGGGGCUGUGGGCUCAGGGCCUCACAGAUGGUUGAAGGGCAGGGCGGGUUCCGGGCGUGUGGGUGUGGCACAGCCCUUCUCUGCUCCCCUCUCCCAGAAGUCAGCUACUUCGACGUCACCAGGUGAGCAGGAGAGGCCACAGGACAGCCUUCAAGGAAGCUCUCGUUCCCCAGAAUUCCAUUCGUCCACACAUUUUUAAAAAGCCACCAUUGUAGAAGCUCACAAGCUCUGUGUUAGGCGGGGGACACAGAGAGAAGUGUGGGGGUGAUGGCGAGGACCAGGACCCCGUCCUGUGUUAAUUCCUGGUGUGAGCUCUGGCUCACUGCGUCCCCACGUUGGCUCCCCAUGUUGGGACUGUUGGCCAGGCUGGCUGUCAAGGGUCCCAUGCUCAAGGGUUCUAGAAUCUUGCCAGGGUGUUUCUCGGACUUCAAACCCCUCGUGUUUAUGAAGUGUGCCCCAAAGCCUCAGCGCUGCACCAUGGGUGUCUUUGUACACUGAACAAAUGCUCAGGGAAGGCUCCGCCCUUGCCCCUCCGUCACACAGCAGGGGGGCAGUGUGCAGGUGCCAGCACUGACCAGUCUGCUUCACCCCUGCACAGUCCUUGGCUUUACCGUGGCACUCGGAGGUGGGAGGGGCAGCGCGGUUGAUGUCCACUUGGCAGGUGAGGAGUCAGACGGGAGAAGUGCGGCAGCCACGGUUAUGCAGGCAGUAGAUGGCAGAGUGAAGCCUUGACCCCUUGGCUCUGGACACCAAUUCUGGGCUCCUUUCUGUUCAUUGUUCUAGCCCGUGGUGGCUCAUGGGUGUUGAGAAUUAGGUUAAAGGGAGCUGCAAGCAAGACCCUGGAAGUAGAUGCAGGACGUGUGAGCUGCAGGGAGAGGAAGUGGCAGAGGGAGGCGGGCGGGAGCCUAGAGCGCCUGGUGCUGCAGGGUCUGGCCGGGUCGGGGCCCUGGAGUGGGGGGCACCGGCUCCUCCUGCCCUCUAAAGCUGACUUUUGCCCGGAUUUCUACACGACCUUUCAUGAUUCCCAGGUGUGCGAGACCGGUAAAUCGAGAGUGUUUGUAACAGAAUGCUGAGUGUUGGAUGGGCAGGGUGGGUAGGGAGGGGUCUAGUAGCCUGUCACUUGGCUCCAGCCCCAGCUGAGUCCUGUUACACUGCCUCCUGUGGAUGGCGGUGGUAGUGCAGGAGCCGGGCCCACACUAGGUAGGUGCAAGCCGAGGCUGAGUUGAGUGACAGGUGUAGGACCCAAACGAUUGGAUGGUGGGUGGAAGCAAACAAGGAGAUUAGUGCCAGGCCCUACGUGGGGACCCCCCAGACUCCUACUUGCCUCGAAGGCACGCGGUGAGCGUGUGAGUCUGCAGCGUUAUCUGUAGAAGGAAACAGGAGUCAUUGCAGUUUUAGUUUGAAUGACUGUGCAGUGUCAGAAAAUGCUGUUAGCAGUGGAUUCCAUUAAUAAAGAUGGACGCUCUGUCGGAGGGAGGUGACA
This 4042-nucleotide long non-coding RNA is filed under the name Oryctolagus cuniculus (rabbit). Its description in RNAcentral is "lncRNA (ENSOCUG00000032569.1)". Lineage: Eukaryota; Metazoa; Chordata; Mammalia; Lagomorpha; Leporidae. The record is from RNAcentral.